This 2929-nucleotide ribosomal RNA is filed under the name Bacillus anthracis (anthrax bacterium). RNAcentral describes it as "23S ribosomal RNA". It matches the Rfam family "Bacterial large subunit ribosomal RNA". Lineage: Bacteria; Bacillati; Bacillota; Bacilli; Caryophanales; Bacillaceae. The record is from RNAcentral.
UUUGGUUAAGUUAGAAAGGGCGCACGGUGGAUGCCUUGACACUAGGAGUCGAUGAAGGACGGGACUAACGCCGAUAUGCUUCGGGGAGCUGUAAGUAAGCUUUGAUCCGAAGAUUUCCGAAUGGGGAAACCCACCAUACGUAAUGGUAUGGUAUCCUUAUCUGAAUACAUAGGAUNNNNNNNNNNNNNNNNNNNNNNNNNNNNNNNNNNNNNNNNNNNNNNNNNNNNNNNNNNNNNNNNNNNNNNNNNNNNNNNNNNNNNNNNNNNNNNNNNNNNNNNNNNNNNNNNNNNNNNNNNNNNGUUGUAGGACAUUCUAUACGGAGUUACAAAGGAACGAGGUAGACGAAGCGACCUGGAAAGGUCCGUCGUAGAGGGUAACAACCCCGUAGUCGAAACUUCGUUCUCUCUUGAAUGUAUCCUGAGUACGGCGGAACACGUGAAAUUCCGUCGGAAUCUGGGAGGACCAUCUCCCAAGGCUAAAUACUCCCUAGUGAUCGAUAGUGAACCAGUACCGUGAGGGAAAGGUGAAAAGCACCCCGGAAGGGGAGUGAAAGAGAUCCUGAAACCGUGUGCCUACAAAUAGUCAGAGCCCGUUAACGGGUGAUGGCGUGCCUUUUGUAGAAUGAACCGGCGAGUUACGAUCCCGUGCGAGGUUAAGCUGAAGAGGCGGAGCCGCAGCGAAAGCGAGUCUGAAUAGGGCGUUUAGUACGUGGUCGUAGACCCGAAACCAGGUGAUCUACCCAUGUCCAGGGUGAAGUUCAGGUAACACUGAAUGGAGGCCCGAACCCACGCACGUUGAAAAGUGCGGGGAUGAGGUGUGGGUAGCGGAGAAAUUCCAAUCGAACCUGGAGAUAGCUGGUUCUCCCCGAAAUAGCUUUAGGGCUAGCCUUAAGUGUAAGAGUCUUGGAGGUAGAGCACUGAUUGGACUAGGGGUCCUCAUCGGAUUACCGAAUUCAGUCAAACUCCGAAUGCCAAUGACUUAUCCUUAGGAGUCAGACUGCGAGUGAUAAGAUCCGUAGUCAAAAGGGAAACAGCCCAGACCGCCAGCUAAGGUCCCAAAGUGUGUAUUAAGUGGAAAAGGAUGUGGAGUUGCUUAGACAACUAGGAUGUUGGCUUAGAAGCAGCCACCAUUUAAAGAGUGCGUAAUAGCUCACUAGUCGAGUGACUCUGCGCCGAAAAUGUACCGGGGCUAAAUACACCACCGAAGCUGCGGAUUGAUACCAAUGGUAUCAGUGGUAGGGGAGCGUUCUAAGGACAGUGAAGUCAGACCGGAAGGACUGGUGGAGUGCUUAGAAGUGAGAAUGCCGGUAUGAGUAGCGAAAGACGGGUGAGAAUCCCGUCCACCGAAUGCCUAAGGUUUCCUGAGGAAGGCUCGUCCGCUCAGGGUUAGUCAGGACCUAAGCCGAGGCCGACAGGCGUAGGCGAUGGACAACAGGUUGAUAUUCCUGUACCACCUCUUUAUCGUUUGAGCAAUGGAGGGACGCAGAAGGAUAGAAGAAGCGUGCGAUUGGUUGUGCACGUCCAAGCAGUUAGGCUGAUAAGUAGGCAAAUCCGCUUAUCGUGAAGGCUGAGCUGUGAUGGGGAAGCUCCUUAUGGAGCGAAGUCUUUGAUUCCCCGCUGCCAAGAAAAGCUUCUAGCGAGAUAAAAGGUGCCUGUACCGCAAACCGACACAGGUAGGCGAGGAGAGAAUCCUAAGGUGUGCGAGAGAACUCUGGUUAAGGAACUCGGCAAAAUGACCCCGUAACUUCGGGAGAAGGGGUGCUUUCUUAACGGAAAGCCGCAGUGAAUAGGCCCAAGCGACUGUUUAGCAAAAACACAGCUCUCUGCGAAGCCGUAAGGCGAAGUAUAGGGGGUGACACCUGCCCGGUGCUGGAAGGUUAAGGAGAGGGGUUAGCGUAAGCGAAGCUCUGAACUGAAGCCCCAGUAAACGGCGGCCGUAACUAUAACGGUCCUAAGGUAGCGAAAUUCCUUGUCGGGUAAGUUCCGACCCGCACGAAAGGUGUAACGAUUUGGGCACUGUCUCAACCAGAGACUCGGUGAAAUUAUAGUACCUGUGAAGAUGCAGGUUACCCGCGACAGGACGGAAAGACCCCGUGGAGCUUUACUGUAGCCUGAUAUUGAAUUUUGGUACAGUUUGUACAGGAUAGGCGGGAGCCUUUGAAACCGGAGCGCUAGCUUCGGUGGAGGCGCUGGUGGGAUACCGCCCUGACUGUAUUGAAAUUCUAACCUACGGGUCUUAUCGACCCGGGAGACAGUGUCAGGUGGGCAGUUUGACUGGGGCGGUCGCCUCCUAAAGUGUAACGGAGGCGCCCAAAGGUUCCCUCAGAAUGGUUGGAAAUCAUUCGUAGAGUGCAAAGGCAUAAGGGAGCUUGACUGCGAGACCUACAAGUCGAGCAGGGACGAAAGUCGGGCUUAGUGAUCCGGUGGUUCCGCAUGGAAGGGCCAUCGCUCAACGGAUAAAAGCUACCCCGGGGAUAACAGGCUUAUCUCCCCCAAGAGUCCACAUCGACGGGGAGGUUUGGCACCUCGAUGUCGGCUCAUCGCAUCCUGGGGCUGUAGUCGGUCCCAAGGGUUGGGCUGUUCGCCCAUUAAAGCGGUACGCGAGCUGGGUUCAGAACGUCGUGAGACAGUUCGGUCCCUAUCCGUCGUGGGCGUAGGAAAUUUGAGAGGAGCUGUCCUUAGUACGAGAGGACCGGGAUGGACGCACCGCUGGUGUACCAGUUGUUCUGCCAAGGGCAUAGCUGGGUAGCUAUGUGCGGAAGGGAUAAGUGCUGAAAGCAUCUAAGCAUGAAGCCCCCCUCAAGAUGAGAUUUCCCAUAGCGUAAGCUAGUAAGAUCCCUGAAAGAUGAUCAGGUUGAUAGGUUCGAGGUGGAAGCAUGGUGACAUGUGGAGCUGACGAAUACUAAUAGAUCGAGGACUUAACCAUAUAA